Molecule: long non-coding RNA, 587 nt
Organism: Drosophila persimilis
Lineage: Eukaryota; Metazoa; Arthropoda; Insecta; Diptera; Drosophilidae
Exons: 3
Source: RefSeq, a predicted model, not a curated record
UCUGUGGCUCGGAUAAUCGUAAGAUUAUGCCGUCAACUGCCUGGAAAUAUGUACUAUCCUGGUUCCUUGGAUCCUGAACAGUUGGCAAAAAUGAAGGCUAUACGAGUAUGUUUCACUUCCACAUGGUGGGACCAUGGGUAUCCAUUUGCUGCCUUAUCUUGAAUCGUAUCAGGGACACUGUGCGGAGGGGGUCUAAAAUUGUGUUUAUGGUGAUGUGGAUUCUGCGAUAUUGAGUUGGAGGGCUGCGUAACAGCGUUAGCGGAUUGGGGGUGUUGGGGAGGGCGUUCCCAAGGAUUGUGCGUGUUGCGGCGGUGCUUCUCAGAGGUUGUCGGCGUUGGGUUGGGCGUUGGGGCGGGCGUGGCAGCUGCAACUCUCUAAUUUCAUUUACACACUUUUCAACGCUCCUUUGCUCCAAUUGAGCUGCAUCUAAGUGUUUGCCUAGGUGUGCCCCACUCAAGCCCUCGACUCACUGACUCGACUCGCCCACUCACUCAAACACAAAGCCACCGUUGCUGCCACAAAGUGGAGGGAAAUGGAAGGUGGUUCUGGCUGCUAGCUGCUGCUGGUUGCUGGUUGCUGGGUGGUGG